RNAcentral lists this non-coding RNA (21 nucleotides) under Xenopus tropicalis (tropical clawed frog). Lineage: Eukaryota; Metazoa; Chordata; Amphibia; Anura; Pipidae. RNAcentral also lists the same sequence under 6 other names. The record is from RNAcentral.
CCCAUAAAGUAGAAAGCACUA